GACGAACGCUGGCGGCGUGCUUAACACAUGCAAGUCGAACGGGCUCUGUCUGGCUGUGUGCUGGGUGGGGUUAGUGGCGAACGGGUGAGUAAUACGUGAGUAACCUGCCCUCUUCUUUGGGAUAAGCCUUGGAAACGGGGUCUAAUACUGGAUAUUCCUGUCUGGUCGCAUGGCUGGGUGGGGAAAGUUUUUUCGGUGGGGGAUGGGCUCGCGGCCUAUCAGCUUGUUGGUGGGGUGAUGGCCUACCAAGGCGUCGACGGGUAGCCGGCCUGAGAGGGUGGCCGGCGACACUGGGACUGAGAUACGGCCCAGACGCCUACGGGCGGCAGCAGUGGGGGAUAUUGCGCAGUGGGCGCAAGCCUGAUGCAGCGACGCCGCGUGGGGGAUGACGGCUUUCGGGUUGUAAACCUCUUGCGUCGGGGGACAAGGCUCUGCUUGGUGGUGGGGUUGAGGGUACCCGGUGAAGAAGCGCCGGCUAACUACGUG
RNAcentral lists this ribosomal RNA (486 nucleotides) under uncultured bacterium. Its description in RNAcentral is "partial 16S ribosomal RNA". It matches the Rfam family "Bacterial small subunit ribosomal RNA", at positions 28 to 507 of the family's 1533-position model. The record is from RNAcentral.